RNAcentral lists this ribosomal RNA (246 nucleotides) under uncultured bacterium. Its description in RNAcentral is "partial 16S ribosomal RNA". It matches the Rfam family "Bacterial small subunit ribosomal RNA", at positions 87 to 334 of the family's 1533-position model. The record is from RNAcentral.
UAUGGCGACCGGCGCACGGGUGAGUAACACGUAUCCAACCUGCCGAUGACUCGGGGAUAGCCUUUCGAAAGAAAGAUUAAUACCCGAUGGCAUAGUUCUUCCGCAUGGUAGAACUAUUAAAGAAUUUCGGUCAUCGAUGGGGAUGCGUUCCAUUAGGUUGUUGGCGGGGUAACGGCCCACCGAGCCUUCGAUGGAUAGGGGUUCUGAGAGGAAGGUCCCCCACAUUGGAACUGAGACACGGUCCAA